Molecule: ribosomal RNA, 253 nt
Filed under: uncultured bacterium
Lineage: Bacteria
Description: partial 16S ribosomal RNA
Rfam family: Bacterial small subunit ribosomal RNA
Source: RNAcentral
UACGGGGGGGGCAAGCGUUGUUCGGAAUUACUGGGCGUAAAGGGCUCGUAGGUGGCCAACUCAGUCGGACGUGAAAUCCCUCGGCUUAACCGGGGAACUGCGUCCGAUACUGGAUGGCUUGAGAUCGGGAGAGGGAUGCGGAAUUCCAGGUGUAGCGGUGAAAUGCGUAGAUAUCUGGAGGAACACCGGUGGCGAAGGCGGCUUCCUGGACCGAUACUGACGCUGAGGCGCGAAAGCUAGGGGAGCAAACGGG